RNAcentral lists this ribosomal RNA (253 nucleotides) under uncultured bacterium. RNAcentral's name for it is "partial 16S ribosomal RNA". It matches the Rfam family "Bacterial small subunit ribosomal RNA", at positions 524 to 776 of the family's 1533-position model. The record is from RNAcentral.
UACGUAGGUGGCAAGCGUUGUCCGGAUUUAUUGGGUUUAAAGGGUGCGUAGGCGGACAGGUAAGUCAGUGGUGAAAUCUCUGGGCUUAACCCAGAAACUGCCGUUGAUACUAUUUGUCUUGAAUAUCCUGGAGGUAGGCGGAAUAUGUCAUGUAGCGGUGAAAUGCUUAGAUAUGACAUAGAACACCGAUAGCGAAGGCAGCUUACUACAGGAUGAUUGACGCUGAGGCACGAAAGCGUGGGGAGCAAACAGG